This 235-nucleotide long non-coding RNA is filed under the name Lathyrus oleraceus (garden pea). RNAcentral describes it as "Pisum sativum (pea) long non-coding RNA (PSAT_LNC030486)". Lineage: Eukaryota; Viridiplantae; Streptophyta; Magnoliopsida; Fabales; Fabaceae. The record is from RNAcentral.
AAACAAGUGCAGACUUCAGUGGUGCGACCUUUCAAAGAUAUCUUUCACAGCGGUGGGUUUAUCAACAUGGUAGCAGUUGAGGAGGAUACUUUUGAGGGAAAGACAGAAGAGAAGGCCCCAGAUUUGUGACACCAGGAGUAGUUAUGAAGAACUGGACCGCAGUUGACAUCCCACAUUGUGUCCACAUAUCAAAGUAAUUAAGCUUUUCAGUUUCAAAAAUCUUCCGUUUAGCCCA